RNAcentral lists this ribosomal RNA (440 nucleotides) under uncultured bacterium. RNAcentral describes it as "partial 16S ribosomal RNA". It matches the Rfam family "Bacterial small subunit ribosomal RNA", at positions 338 to 795 of the family's 1533-position model. The record is from RNAcentral.
CCUACGGGUGGCAGCAGUGGGGGAUAUUGCACAAUGGGGGAAACCCUGAUGCAGCGACGCCGCGUGGGUGAAGAAGCGCCUCGGCGCGUAAAGCCCUGUCAGCAGGGAAGAAAAUGACGGUACCUGAAGAAGAAGCCCCGGCGAACUACGUGCCAGCAGCCGCGGUAAUACGUAGGGGGCAAGCGUUAUCCGGAUUUACUGGGUGUAAAGGGGGCGCAGACGGCGAUGCAAGCCAGGAGUGAAAGCCCGGGGCCCAACCCCGGGACUGCUCUUGGAACUGGGUGGCUAGAGUGCAGGAGGGGCAGGCGGAAUUCCGGGUGUAGCGGUGAAAUGCGUAGAUAUCAGGAGGAACACCGGUGGCGAAGGCAGCCUGCUGGACUGCAACUGACGUUGAGGCCCGAAAGCGUGGGGAGCAAACAGGAUUAGAUACCCCAGUAGUC